UACGGGGGGGGCAAGCGUUGUUCGGAAUUACUGGGCGUAAAGGGCUCGUAGGCGGCCAACUAAGUCAGACGUGAAAUCCCUCGGCUUAACCGGGGAACUGCGUCUGAUACUGGAUGGCUUGAAUCCGGGAGAGGGAUGCGGAAUUCCAGGUGUAGCGGUGAAAUGCGUAGAUAUCAGGAAGAACACCCGUGGCGAAGGCGGCUCUCUGGGACGGUACUGACGCUGAGACGCGAAAGCGUGGGGAGCGAACAGG
Molecule: ribosomal RNA, 253 nt
Filed under: uncultured bacterium
Lineage: Bacteria
Description: partial 16S ribosomal RNA
Rfam family: Bacterial small subunit ribosomal RNA
Source: RNAcentral